This 97-nucleotide non-coding RNA is filed under the name unclassified sequences. Its description in RNAcentral is "GP20-a RNA". It matches the Rfam family "GP20-a RNA". From Rfam's summary of the family: gut metagenomes. Environment (Cow rumen (57)) The record is from RNAcentral.
AUAAGAUGCGGUGGACAUCAUAUAAAAAUCACCACAAUCUAACCGGAAACUGUAAUCCGGAAAUACAAAUAACAGAUAUAAAAGAUUGGAGGACGGU